AGGGGAGGGCGGACGGUCGCCCCGGGGAAACCCGUGGGAGGAAAGUCCGGGCACCCCAGGGCUGGACGCCGGAGGAAACCUCCGGUUCCGGUAACGGAAAGAACGUGCCACAGAAAGGAAACCGCCGGAACCAGUUCCGGUAAGGGUGAAAGGGUGAGGUAAGAGCUCACCGGGGAUCGGGCAACCGGUCUCGCACGGCAAACCUCGUCCGGUGCAAGGCCAAGCAGGGGGGAAGGCCCUCGGGCCGGGGCGUUGCCCGCGCCCCCUGACCUCCGGGUUGGCCGCUAGAGGCCCCGGGCAACCGGGGUCCCAGACGGAUGACCGUCGGCACUCCUUUAUUAAGGGGUGCGCACAGAACCCGGCUUACAGCCCUCCCCUCUUU
This 382-nucleotide RNase P RNA is filed under the name Candidatus Fermentibacterota bacterium. RNAcentral describes it as "RNase P RNA component class A". It matches the Rfam family "Bacterial RNase P class A". From Rfam's summary of the family: Ribonuclease P (RNase P) is a ubiquitous endoribonuclease, found in archaea, bacteria and eukarya as well as chloroplasts and mitochondria. Its best characterised activity is the generation of mature 5'-ends of tRNAs by cleaving the 5'-leader elements of precursor-tRNAs. Lineage: Bacteria; Pseudomonadati; Candidatus Fermentibacterota. The record is from RNAcentral.